This is a non-coding RNA of Microcebus murinus (gray mouse lemur), 1045 nucleotides long. The record is from RefSeq and is a predicted model, not a curated record. Lineage: Eukaryota; Metazoa; Chordata; Mammalia; Primates; Cheirogaleidae.
UAGCAACACAGAAAGUGAGAGGAAAAUUGACAGAAUGGUGCCAGGUAUCAAGCAGUGCGCUAGAAGCUGGGGAGGCUAUUACAAACAAGACAUAAUCUUGUUCUAAGGCUCUCAAAUUCUAAUUGGAGAAAAAUCAAAUGAAGAAAGAGAGGCAUAUAUAAUAUUCUGCUGGAGGAGGUGAGACGGUUGCUCCACAAGGAAAAAUUAGAACAAUACAAAGGAUGUGUCGAGAAUAGAACUUCCAGACAAAUGAAAUAGAACGUUCAAAAAUCCAAAAAUGAGAAAUCUGAAGACAUAUGUACCUCAAGGUGGGCUAUGGUAUCUCCCUGACUCCAGUUUAUACAGCGCAGAUAAGCAGCAUUAAAAGGAAAAACGGAAAAGCGAUAUGUAGCUCUGAUGUUACACCGUUAAUUCUGAGCAGACUCACUGAGAUUAAAAGGAAUGAUGCUUUCCCUAACUUGAACCUUUGGCACUAACCACCAUUCAAUUUCCUGGAAAAUAAGGAUUUUUAAUAUGUGAGAACAGACUCCUGACCUAUCUUAAUCAUAAUAUCUGAAUUAAUCAAUGCCAAAUGAAGGAAAAAAGGGAAAAAUUCCAUUCUUCCUCCAAAUAUCCAGAUUGUAAGUAAGUAUACAUUAAGGAUAUCCUCAUAUACAUGGGACACAUUUGGUUACAGAACAGUACCUGUGAAGUAUUAUUGCUAAUCAUAUAAGGACUCUCACAGACCAAGUAAGAGAGAAUCAGAAAUGUAUCUCUAGUAUCAAGGAGACUAAGCAUGCUGUCAGAUAUUAGGGUACCAAAGUCAAUGACACAGUCCCUGUUCUCACGAAGCUUGCAUGAAGUACUGUAUUAAGUUUACAAUGUCUAGUGCAUUUGGAGAUAUUAGUACCUAACACCAUGAUCCUGGAUCAGAAACAUCAUUAAAUAAAUAGCAUGUCUACCACAUUGGUUUUACUAUAGCCAUAGUGAAUUAUGGAUCCUGGUCUGAAGACACAUACACAUUUACAUCUCCAUAUCUUCAUACACAUUUCCCCAUAGAUUAUAG